UACGUAGGGCGCAAGCGUUAGUCCGGAAUUAUUGGCGUAAAGAGCUCGUAGGCGGUCUGUCGCGUCGGCGUGUGAAAACUCGGGGCUCAACCCCGAGCCGCAGUCGAUACGGGCAGACGUAGAGUGCGGUAGGGGAGACUGGAAUUCCUGGUGUAGCGGUGAAAUGCGCAGAGUAUCAGGAGGAACGACCGGUGGCGAAGGCGGG
This 205-nucleotide ribosomal RNA is filed under the name uncultured bacterium. RNAcentral's name for it is "partial 16S ribosomal RNA". It matches the Rfam family "Bacterial small subunit ribosomal RNA", at positions 524 to 725 of the family's 1533-position model. The record is from RNAcentral.